GGCCCCAUGGUCAAGUGGUUAAGACACCACCCUUUCACGGUGGUAACGGGGGUUCGAAUCCCCCUGGGGUCA
Alicyclobacillus acidocaldarius subsp. acidocaldarius DSM 446 is the source of this 72-nucleotide transfer RNA. It matches the Rfam family "tRNA". From Rfam's summary of the family: Transfer RNA (tRNA) molecules are approximately 80 nucleotides in length. Their secondary structure includes four short double-helical elements and three loops (D, anti-codon, and T loops). Further hydrogen bonds mediate the characteristic L-shaped molecular structure. tRNAs have two regions of fundamental functional importance: the anti-codon, which is responsible for specific mRNA codon recognition, and the 3' end, to which the tRNAs corresponding amino acid is attached (by aminoacyl-tRNA synthetases). tRNAs cope with the degeneracy of the genetic code in two manners: having more than one tRNA (with a specific anti-codon) for a particular amino acid; and 'wobble' base-pairing, i.e. permitting non-standard base-pairing at the 3rd anti-codon position. Lineage: Bacteria; Bacillati; Bacillota; Bacilli; Caryophanales; Alicyclobacillaceae. The record is from Rfam.